Non-coding RNA from Coffea arabica (coffee), 921 nucleotides. The record is from RefSeq and is a predicted model, not a curated record. Lineage: Eukaryota; Viridiplantae; Streptophyta; Magnoliopsida; Gentianales; Rubiaceae.
AUCAAUUUUUCCCUCCUCUUUCAUGUCUUUUUCAGAAACAGCGAGAAAGGGAAGUUCAAUAUUUCGUCCCGACUAUCUAUGCGAAUUUGUGGAAUACAGAUAUGUCUUUUAGAGAAAUGGUUGCAAUGUGCUUGGUCAAAGACUUAAAAAAGAGGAAUCGUGCGAAAAAACUCUCUGCUGACUUACCUCCGUUGUGGAAUCGUGUCAAGGCAAAUUUGAGUCUUAAGGAUGCUGCAGAACUAGCUUUGAAGAAAAUGCCUUCAGCUGAAUAGGAAGCAUUGUCACAGGUGCAAGUUUGGAGAUUUUGUCUUGGAUCACUAACUUUGCAUCAUUUUUUUUUCGUUUUUAUUGUUCAGUUCUAUGUUUAGCUUCUUUGUUACAUGUGUUGUGCUGCUUUGGUUUCUUGCUCUUCACAUUAUCCUCAGCCUCCUCUUGCCUACUGCUACUGUUCCUUCAAAAAACAGGUAUUCGUUCUUUACCUCCUUUUUUUCUUUCUUAUUUUUUCUCCGGUGACAUGUUAUAGCUGUGAUAGUUGAUGUGAAACAUUUUUUCUGAUUCUCUUUUAUCCUGCAUGCUACUUCAUGUUUAUCCUACAGGGUGGUUUACAUGUCUUGCAUUUCAAUUUUUUCCUGCUUCCUAAGAUUUGGUGGAACUACAUAUAUGGGCAAACAUAGAGAAUGGAAAGAAAUGAACUUUAUCUGUGAUGCCUUCUUCAGAUGAAGAUGCGUCAGAAAAAUUCUGAAUUGAGAAGACAUGACUAUAGAGUUCCAGAAAGAAAACAAUAUCGCGCUAACCACAGUUUAAAUGAUAAAAUUAGUGAAACUGAUUCCUGUAUACAACAAGGGAAUAUGCUUAUUAUACACUAAGGGAAAAGUUGUUUUAAAUCUUGAUUCAGUUCACAAUAAGGGAAAGCUGCAGACA